GUAUGGGUCACCGCAAGGUUUCUGGGCAUUUGCCCCAGACAAUACAUGCGUGGCCCGCCCCGCGGUCCACGAUCGGCUACGCCGAAAGCAUCAACACGCCGGUAACGAUACCGGC
Molecule: non-coding RNA, 115 nt
Filed under: Pseudomonas palmensis
Lineage: Bacteria; Pseudomonadati; Pseudomonadota; Gammaproteobacteria; Pseudomonadales; Pseudomonadaceae
Description: Pseudomon-groES RNA
Rfam family: Pseudomon-groES RNA
Source: RNAcentral